CAGAUCCCUUUGAAAAAAAAAAGCUUAUUUCUUGGACAACAUUACUAACAGCAAAGUGUCAUAAAACUGCGAGGCGCAGCCCUUGGCUUGUUUAACCUUUUGUCACAGCAUCUAUACCAGGGAAUGCUGCAUGUGUGCAGUACCAAGAAAACAUUGCUAUUCUAUAAGAACG
Non-coding RNA from Ochotona princeps (American pika), 172 nucleotides. Lineage: Eukaryota; Metazoa; Chordata; Mammalia; Lagomorpha; Ochotonidae. The record is from Rfam.